UCUGAAAAAUUAUAGGAGGUCCAGCCUGCCCAGUGACAUAGUUAAACGGCCGCGGUACUCUAACCGUGCGAAGGUAGCGCAAUCACUUGUUCUUUAAAUGAGGACUAGUAUGAACGGCAUCACGAGGAUUAUACUGUCUCCCCCCUUUAAUCAGUGAAACUGAUCUCCCCGUGAAGAAGCGGGGAUAAGAGUAUAAGACGAGAAGACCCUAUGGAGCUUUAAACUUACACCACCUAUCUUAAUGCACUUCUUAACAAGCAGAUAGAAAUCGUAUACGUUUUAAGUUGGGGUGACUGCGGAGUAAAAACCAACCUCCACGAUGAUACACCUUAAAUCCAAGAACUACAAUUCAAAGAAUCAAUAAGCUGACAUUAAUUGACCCAAACAAUUUGAUCAACGAAC
RNAcentral lists this ribosomal RNA (402 nucleotides) under Chiasmocleis ventrimaculata group sp. ABGD cluster 24. RNAcentral describes it as "partial large subunit ribosomal RNA". It matches the Rfam family "Bacterial large subunit ribosomal RNA", at positions 1834 to 2457 of the family's 2925-position model. Lineage: Eukaryota; Metazoa; Chordata; Amphibia; Anura; Microhylidae. The record is from RNAcentral.